Non-coding RNA from Mucidula mucida, 101 nucleotides. The record is from the annotation of a GenBank genome assembly. NCBI's taxonomy places the organism in Eukaryota, Fungi, Basidiomycota, Agaricomycetes, Agaricales, Physalacriaceae.
GGGUCGAUGGCGUAGUUGGUUAUCGCAUCUGUCUAACAACACCAAACAUCGUCUAAAAUUGUGACACAGAAGGUCCUCAAGUGCGAGCCUGGGUUGACUCA